Molecule: ribosomal RNA, 490 nt
Filed under: uncultured bacterium
Lineage: Bacteria
Description: partial 16S ribosomal RNA
Rfam family: Bacterial small subunit ribosomal RNA
Source: RNAcentral
AUUGAACGCUGGCGGCAGGCCUAACACAUGCAAGUCGAACGGUAACAGGAAGCAGCUUGCUGCUUCGCUGACGAGUGGCGGACGGGUGAGUAAUGUCUGGGAAACUGCCUGAUGGAGGGGGAUAACUACUGGAAACGGUAGCUAAUACCGCAUAACGUCGCAAGACCAAAGAGGGGGACCUUAGGGCCUCUUGCCAUCGGAUGUGCCCAGAUGGGAUUAGCUAGUAGGUGGGGUAACGGCUCACCUAGGCGACGAUCCCUAGCUGGUCUGAGAGGAUGACCAGCCACACUGGAACUGAGACACGGUCCAGACUCCUACGGGAGGCAGCAGUGGGGAAUAUUGCACAAUGGGCGCAAGCCUGAUGCAGCCAUGCCGCGUGUAUGGAGAAGGCCUUCGGGUUGUAAAGUACUUUCAGCGGGGAGGAAGGGAGUAAAGUUAAUACCUUUGCUCAUUGACGUUACCCGCAGAAGAAGCACCGGCUAACUCCGUG